ACGCUGGCGGCGUGCCUAAUACAUGCAAGUGGAACGCAUGAUUGAUACCGGAGCUUGCUCCACCAUUAAUCAUGAGUCGCGAACGGGUGAGUAACGCGUAGGUAACCUACCUCAUAGCGGGGGAUAACUAUUGGAAACGAUAGCUAAUACCGCAUAACAGUCUUUGACACAUGUUAGAGACUUAAAAGGAGCAAUUGCUUCACUAUGAGAUGGACCUGCGUUGUAUUAGCUAGUUGGUGAGGUAAAGGCUCACCAAGGCGACGAUACAUAGCCGACCUGAGAGGGUGAUCGGCCACACUGGGACUGAGACACGGCCCAGACUCCUACGGGAGGCAGCAGUAGGGAAUCUUCGGCAAUGGGGGGAACCCUGACCGAGCAACGCCGCGUGAGUGAAGAAGGUUUUCGGAUCGUAAAGCUCUGUUGUUAGAGAAGAACGUGUGUGAGAGUGGAAAGUUCACACAGUGACGGUAACUAACCAGAAAGGGACGGCUAACUACGUGCCAGCAGCCGCGGUAAUACGUAGGUCCCGAGCGUUGUCCGGAUUUAUUGGGCGUAAAGCGAGCGCAGGCGGUUCUGUAAGUCUGAAGUUAAAGGCAGUGGCU
RNAcentral lists this ribosomal RNA (602 nucleotides) under uncultured bacterium. RNAcentral's name for it is "bacterial SSU rRNA". It matches the Rfam family "Bacterial small subunit ribosomal RNA", at positions 33 to 609 of the family's 1533-position model. The record is from RNAcentral.